This 427-nucleotide ribosomal RNA is filed under the name uncultured bacterium. RNAcentral describes it as "bacterial SSU rRNA". It matches the Rfam family "Bacterial small subunit ribosomal RNA", at positions 355 to 774 of the family's 1533-position model. The record is from RNAcentral.
UGGGGAAUAUUGGACAAUGGGGGCAACCCUGAUCCAGCAAUGCCGCGUAUGUGAAGAAGGCCCUCGGGUUGUAAAGCACUUUUAUCGGGAACGAAACAUUGUCGGCCAAUACCCGGCAAGACUGACGGUACCCGAGGAAUAAGCACCGGCUAACUCCGUGCCAGCAGCCGCGGUAAUACGGAGGGUGCAAGCGUUAAUCGGAAUUACUGGGCGUAAAGCGUGCGCAGGCGGUUUGUUAAGUCUGAUGUGAAAGCCCUGGGCUCAACCUGGGAAUGGCAUUGGAAACUGGGCAGCUAGAGUGCGGUAGAGGGUAGUGGAAUUCCCGGUGUAGCAGUGAAAUGCGUAGAGAUCGGGAGGAACAUCUGUGGCGAAGGCGACUGCCUGGACCAGCACUGACACUGAGGCACGAAAGCGUGGGGAGCAAACA